CCUACGGGUGGCAGCAGUGAGGAAUAUUGGUCAAUGGACGAAAGUCUGAACCAGCCAAGCAGCGUGAAGGAUGACGGCCCUAUGGGUUGUAAACUUCUUUUAUAUGAGAAUAAAAUGUUACACGUGUGGUCUUUUGUAUGUACCGUAUGAAUAAGGAUCGGCUAACUCCGUGCCAGCAGCCGCGGUAAUACGGAGGAUCCGAGCGUUAUCCGGAUUUAUUGGGUUUAAAGGGAGCGUAGGUGGAUUGUUAAGUCAGAUGUGAAAGGUUGGGGCUCAACCCUAGAACUGCAUUUGAUACUGGCAGUCUAGAGUAUAGUAGAGGUAGGCGGAAUGCGUGGUGUAGCGGUGAAAUGCUUAGAGAUCAUACAGAACACCGAUUGCGAAGGCAACUUAC
RNAcentral lists this ribosomal RNA (394 nucleotides) under uncultured bacterium. RNAcentral describes it as "partial 16S ribosomal RNA". It matches the Rfam family "Bacterial small subunit ribosomal RNA", at positions 338 to 729 of the family's 1533-position model. The record is from RNAcentral.